This 503-nucleotide ribosomal RNA is filed under the name uncultured bacterium. Its description in RNAcentral is "partial 16S ribosomal RNA". It matches the Rfam family "Bacterial small subunit ribosomal RNA", at positions 30 to 523 of the family's 1533-position model. The record is from RNAcentral.
AUUGAACGCUGGCGGCAGGCUUAACACAUGCAAGUCGAGCGGGGGAAGGUAGCUUGCUACCGGACCUAGCGGCGGACGGGUGAGUAAUGCUUAGGAAUCUGCCUAUUAGUGGGGGUCAACAUCUCGAAAGGGAUGCUAAUACCGCAUACGUCCUACGGGAGAAAGCAGGGGAUCACUUGUGACCUUGCGCUAAUAGAUGAGCAUAAGUCGGAUUAGCUAGUUGGUGGGGUAAAGGCCUACCAAGGCGACGAUCUGUAGCGGGUCUGAGAGGAUGAUCCGCCCAAGUGGGAAUGAGACGCGGGCCAGACUCCUACUGGAGGCAGCAGUGGGAAAUAUGGGACAAUGGGGGAAACCCUGAGCCAGCCAUGCCGCGUGUGUGAAGAAGGCCUUAUGGUUGUAAAGCACUUUAAGCGAGGAGGAGGCUACUGAGACUAAUACUCUUGGAUAGUGGACGUUACUCGCAGAAUAAGCACCGGCUAACUCUGUGCCAGCCGCCGCUGUAA